AAGCCUGAUGCAGCAACGCCGCGUGAACGAUGAAGGUCUUCGGAUCGUAAAGUUCUGUUGCAGGGGAAGAUAAUGACGGUACCCUGUGAGGAAGCCCCGGCUAACUACGUGCCAGCAGCCGCGGUAAUACGUAGGGGGCUAGCGUUAUCCGGAUUUACUGGGCGUAAAGGGUGCGUAGGUGGUCCUUCAAGUCGGUGGUUAAAGGCUACGGCUCAACCGUAGUAAGCCGCCGAAACUGGAGGACUUGAGUGCAGGAGAGGAAAGUGGAAUUCCCAGUGUAGCGGUGAAAUGCGUAGAUAUUGGGAGGAACACCAGUAGCGAAGGCGGCUUUCUGGACUGCAACUGACACUGAGGCACGAAAGCGUGGGUAGCAAACAGGAUUAGAUACCCUGGUAGUCCACGCUGUAAACGAUGAGUACUAGGUGUCGGGGGUUACCCCCCUCGGUGCCGCAGCUAACGCAUUAAGUACUCCGCCUGGGGAGUACGCACGCAAGUGUGAAACUCAAAGGAAUUGACGGGGACCCGCACAAGUAGCGGAGCAUGUGGUUUAAUUCGAAGCACGCGAAGAACCU
RNAcentral lists this ribosomal RNA (572 nucleotides) under Peptostreptococcus stomatis. RNAcentral describes it as "bacterial SSU rRNA". It matches the Rfam family "Bacterial small subunit ribosomal RNA", at positions 379 to 971 of the family's 1533-position model. The record is from RNAcentral. Lineage: Bacteria; Bacillati; Bacillota; Clostridia; Peptostreptococcales; Peptostreptococcaceae.